CCUAUGACCCGCGGGUCCUCUAACUCGAUGACGUUCGGACGAGCCGAACCACUCGCGA
This is a non-coding RNA of Candidatus Saccharibacteria bacterium 49-20, 58 nucleotides long. The record is from Rfam. NCBI's taxonomy places the organism in Bacteria, Candidatus Saccharimonadota.